UAUCCCAGCCUAUGGCUGCACGUCCCCUGCGUGGUCUCAGAGGCUAAGCAGUGUCAGCCCUGGCUGGUGCUGGGAUGGGAGACCACCAGGGAGCUCCAGCUGCCAGCCAAGCUGUGAUAA
This 120-nucleotide ribosomal RNA is filed under the name Crocodylus porosus (Australian saltwater crocodile). The record is from RNAcentral. Lineage: Eukaryota; Metazoa; Chordata; Crocodylia; Crocodylidae.